AUGGGCAGCGGCUCUCGGCGGCGGCGGGGGCUCGGCGACGCGGGCGCUCGGAUCAGCGGCGCGCAGGGACCGGGGCGCUGCGUCCCAUCGGGGCGGCCCCGUCCGAGGAGCCAGGCAGCGAGCUGCGGGGUUGGGGGAGGAAGUCAGGCUGCAAGCCGCCGGGGCCAGAGGGCUGGGCCGGGGGCAGGAAGCUGCGGCGCGGGCUCCCCCCUCGGCGAUCUUCUAACUUCUGCUGUCUCUCCCGGUGCGCGCAAACCGCAUUUCGGCGCCGCCGCUACGCACCCAGCCCCAGGGGGGCGGGCUGGAGGGAGGGGGCGGGCGCCGGGCGCCUGCCGGGGGUCCGCCGCAGCCAUCGCGCUGCAGAGAGGGGGCUACCGACCCGCUUCACCUGCCGCAGAGGGGGCGGCGGGCGCCUCUUCACCUGCCGGAGCGGGAGCGACAGAAGCGAGGCAGAGGCGGCGGCGCGCUCGGCGGCGCCUCCGGGUCCUAGAACCGCAGGCUCCUGCUAGCUCGGAACCGGGGCCCAGGACCGAGCUGAAGACCAGAGGGAACCAUCUGCAAAUAAGAACCCCAAAGCAGGUGUGGGGGGCGCAGAUCCAGGCCAGUGGAGACCCCCGCGACCUGUUCCACUCUGGACAGACUCUGCGCCCGUGCCAAUAUCCUCAGGGCUUUUAGAAUGGAGGUGCCCGUGGAAAAAGGCAGGCAGGCAGAGUCUGGAGACCAUCAAGGCGGUCUCAAGGAGAAGCGCAGGGUUGGGGAACAGGAGGAUUAAGGCCAGCAUCCACGCUGGGAAAGAAGCAGGCACUGCGGAGAGGGGGGCGGAAAUCUUGACGCUGUCACCUCCAGGGAUCUAACUAAAGUGGCCUCUCACUCACCUUGGCGAAUGAGAGACUCUGAAGUCUGGCAAUUACAGCAGUACUUCCAGAGGUCUUCUUUCCGUCAUCCUGACAAUGACCAGGGAAGGAUCCACCAGGCAACAACUGUGGCUCAGUGGUAGAGAAUCUACCUGCCAAUGCAGAAGACUCGGGUUCAAUCCCUGGGUCAGGAAGAUCCCCUGGAGGAGGAAGUGACAACCCACUCCAAUAUUCUUGCCUGGGAAAUCCAAUGGACGGAGGAGCCUGGCGGGCUACAGUCCAUGGGGUUGCGAAGAGUCAGACGCGACUGAGCAAGCAACUCAACAGCAACAAAGGCAGCUGUCAGCAGCCACUGAACUAUCUUUGUCAGCGCCUGCAGUGAGGAGGGGAGGCCAAGCACCAGGCACAUGUCCCUUCCCUGGAGACUGCAGUGGUCACGAUGUCUUCCGAGCACCAGCACGAUGGCAGAUGCAGGGGCAGGCGAUUCCAUGUGCCAUUCAAAACUGAACAGCAGCCCUGCAAGGCAGACCUCUUUCUUUUCUGUGCUCUCUGAGCACAGUGUUCUCCUGAGUAACUGAUUUACCCAAGGUCACAGAACUGGUAAUGUCAGAGCUAAGAUCUGAAACUGUCAGAAAUCCCUGAGCCUGUUUUCUGGUCUUGAAAAUCAGUGAUAGGAUUUCAUAGAACUAUUUUGAAUAUUAAUUAAAAUUUCAAGUAAAGGGAUAACAUAGACCUUUUAAAUUUUUUUAUUUAUUUGUUUUAAAUUUUUUUCUGUGCUGGCUCUUCAUUGCUGCACGUGGGCCUUCUAGAGUUGCAGCAAUCGGGGGCUACUCUUGGUGUGGGGGCUUCUCAGUGCAGUGGCUUCUCUUGUUGCAGAGCACUGGCUUUAGGGUGUGAGGGCUCGGUAGUUGUGGUGCCCUGGCUCAGUUGU
Bubalus bubalis (water buffalo) is the source of this 1785-nucleotide RNA transcript. It is a transcript of the gene named translation initiation factor IF-2, with no coding region annotated. The transcript is spliced from 3 exons. The record is from RefSeq and is a predicted model, not a curated record. NCBI's taxonomy places the organism in Eukaryota, Metazoa, Chordata, Mammalia, Artiodactyla, Bovidae.